This 369-nucleotide ribosomal RNA is filed under the name Globigerina bulloides. RNAcentral's name for it is "partial 18S ribosomal RNA". It matches the Rfam family "Eukaryotic small subunit ribosomal RNA", at positions 1217 to 1414 of the family's 1831-position model. Lineage: Eukaryota; Foraminifera; Rotaliida; Globigerinidae. The record is from RNAcentral.
AUCUGGUCCGGACGCAGUGAGGAUUGACAGACAGUUUCAGGAGUGGUUCUUGGUAAACAAUUGAGAGAGUUGAAGUUCUUUCAUGAUCUUGUGAGAGGUGGUGCAUGGCCGUUCUUAGUUCGUGUAGUGAUAUGUCUGCCUAAUCGCGUCACGAUAACCUAUUGGUCGACAACCCAAUUAUCACAACUGCAGCAUAACUCCCCUUGGGUGGGCGAGGCUCUGUGUAGGAUAGACCUCUGAACAGUACGCAACGAACGCGAUCGUAAUCCCUUGUUGAGUGGCCAUCCUGUAAGCUGCUGGAUUAGGAACCCAGUGGUAUUAUCUCAGCCACAGAUUUUCUGGUUGUAAUGGGCCAUUUUUGAAACUCGG